RNAcentral lists this ribosomal RNA (330 nucleotides) under Bacillus velezensis. RNAcentral's name for it is "bacterial SSU rRNA". It matches the Rfam family "Bacterial small subunit ribosomal RNA", at positions 1212 to 1533 of the family's 1533-position model. The record is from RNAcentral. Lineage: Bacteria; Bacillati; Bacillota; Bacilli; Caryophanales; Bacillaceae.
GGCUACACACGUGCUACAAUGGACAGAACAAAGGGCAGCGAAACCGCGAGGUUAAGCCAAUCCCACAAAUCUGUUCUCAGUUCGGAUCGCAGUCUGCAACUCGACUGCGUGAAGCUGGAAUCGCUAGUAAUCGCGGAUCAGCAUGCCGCGGUGAAUACGUUCCCGGGCCUUGUACACACCGCCCGUCACACCACGAGAGGUUGUAACACCCGAAGUCGGUGAGGUAACCUUUUAGGAGCCAGCCGCCGAAGGUGGGACAGAUGAUUGGGGUGAAGUCGUAACAAGGUAGCCGUAUCGGAAGGUGCGGCUGGAUCACCUCCUUUCUAAGGA